This is a non-coding RNA of Rattus norvegicus (Norway rat), 27607 nucleotides long. NCBI's taxonomy places the organism in Eukaryota, Metazoa, Chordata, Mammalia, Rodentia, Muridae. The record is from RefSeq and is a predicted model, not a curated record.
GUCUGUUCAUAGGAGCCUUAGCAUGUGCCUGUAGUGACAUAGACCUGUGCCUCCCCGAUACCGCCAGCUCGUGUUACAAACUAGGAGGACAUUUCCAAGCUUGGCACGGGCAUGGAAGUGUUCAAUGACCUCACGUAACGAGAAGCAAACAAUACCAUCUUUUCUCUUGAGAAGGAAGGUUGAAGUUUUUAAAACUUUUAAAGCUACUGUCUUGUAUGUGCUUGUAUGUACAUCUUGGGGUGUUUUAAAAUCAGGCAACAUUUAAAUACAUGAAAGUGGAAUGUGGCCCAGUGGCAGAGCACUUCGUAACAUACGUGAGCCUCUCAUUACCAUCUUCAGAAUUUCAAAGCAAACAAGUAAAUAAAAUAAAAAAUAAAUAUCUGGGUAAAUAGGCUUCAUAUCUUCCUACUGACAAAAGAGCAUUUUAUUUAUUUACUUGCUAAAUUUUUUUGGUUUUCUUACUUGAUUCCUACACAUCUCUCACCUGUCUACUCUUCCAUUCAUCUAGCUGACAUCUCUCUAUCUGCUUGUCUGUCUUCUUUCUAUUUAUCCAUCUAUCAUCUAACUACCAACCCAUCCUCUACUUAUCCAUCAACUCAUCCGAACAAACAAAUAUGCCUGUACGCUUAGUGCAGAUAUGUAGACUGCUUAAUUCUCUUUCUGAUUGACAAAAAACAAACAAACAAACAAACAAAAACGGGCCAAACUUUAAUAGCGCAGAUAAUUAACUUUACACAGACAUGAAAAUAAGCUAACCUAUUACUUUUUCUAUUUAUUUAUUAUGAAGGUCUGAGUUUUUUGGUGUUGGAGGGUCUAUGAAUUGGCAGUGCUUGUGCAGUGCACCCCAUCACAGUCAGGUGUGGGACAGUUCCAUCCGCCACCCAGAUGCUUUCCUGUCCUCCUGUGGUCAUCUGCGAGCACUUACGAGCAGAUAUCAGCUGCUGAUAUCUUUCCUGUCAUAAUUCAAUCCAUUUUCCUAGCAUUUUCAGAAUUGUUUUUGAACUAAAGCAUAUCUACUGACCUAGUUUUCUCUCUCAUUCAUGGGGUCCGUGUGCAUUAUCAUCUAGUGGCUUUGAGGUGUGCAAUCAAUCAAUUUGAUAACAUUAGUCAUGUACCCAGGUCUCUGGCAUGUCUAUGCAGAAAGUGAUCCUCCUGGUCUUCUCCCUUCCCAGGGAAGCUGCUUUGUGUCUUUUAAGAAGAGACUUUCUGAGUGUUUGAAUUUGAGUUUUGUGUAUUUCCUUGUCAUUGUGUCAGUAAAUCCAGUGUUUUGCAAAGUGGAUGUAGACCACGCAUGUUCUCUCCUGUGUAAUGUUUCCUCGUAAGUUAUCCAUUCUACUAGUGAGGGAAGUGGGCACUUUCAGCUUCUUAACGUAAGAACUACAGAUGAUACAGUCAUCACCAAUCUUGUUUUUAUCUUUUGUUUCCUUCACGUGUAAGCUUUACUGCCGAUCCUAGUAGAGUGUAAUUGUGUUUUCGUGGAAAAUGCAAAUGGUCUGCUUGGCUAGAUAAUAGCAGAACACCUUCCUAAGUUGUUGAAUAAAUGUAAAACCCCUGUAGCUCUGUAUAAAAAAAGAUAUCAGAUCAUCUGCCUGCCAGCUCAGAGCUGUGUUCUCAUAAUGUUUGUCUAUUGCCUAUGCAUUGUAAUCUAACUGUGGCUUUAUAUCUCUGUGGAAAUGAGUAGUGUUCAACUGUCUGCUUAUUGUGUAGUACCCCAACUGGCUGUGGUUUGAAUUUGCAGUUCACUAAAGGCAUCUAGUGGUGAGCAUCCCCUCAUUUGCUGCCCCACUCACAUGGGUUCCCUUGUUCGGGGCAUUUCCUUUUGCCUAAUUGGAAUAUGUUCUUUGCUUUCUUAAUGCAACGUUUUUAGAAUUCUUUAUAAUUUGGGAUGAUAAUCCUUCAGAUACAGAGAUAUUCUUUCUGUGUCUUGCCUUGAGUGACAGUCACUUUCUCACCAUCUUUAUGAGACUUCCUCAUGUGCUUCCACCUUGAUGACACAACAAGCAGGACAAAGUGAUAAGGACAGCAGGAAUAUGUGACUGCACAUUUCUCAAGCCUGGAGGUACAGAGGCAGGCCCAUGGCAACCCUCACAUGUGUAGGAAUCUUUCCUGGCUUCUUUCUGGCUUCUGGGUGUGUCGGCUAGCCAAGGUCUCCUCCUUUGCCAUCCUGCAGCUUCAGUCUCUGCCUUCAUUGUCACCACAUGCCCUUGUGUGUGUCCUGCAAAGACCUCCAUCUCCUGAGGGGUUAGAGGCUCCUCCCACCUCAUCUUAACUGCUUUCAUCUACAGCGUGAUUUCUAACAUUGUGAGGUGAUUAAGACUUCAAAAUAAAAGUUUUGGUGACACAAUCUGAUGCCUCUUACAUUUUAGCAAUUAGGCUUUGUACAAAAACCAUCUCAUGAAGUUUUAGCUUCAUAGAAUACAGAAUCAUAAAUCCAGAGAAUUAGACAUUAAUGAUGAGACCUUAGAGAUUUACUGUCAGAGAAUAGAUUUAUAGUAUACAUUGUGUCUUCUUUUACCUCCACAUUUACCACAAAUUAAUAAUUGUUUACCCUGCCUGUUGCAGGUAGUUUAUAAAAAAACCUUAUUGCAACAGUCACUAACAUACAAGAUUAUGGUAAAUGAGCAAUAAAUAUUAUUUCUCAUCCCCUUGCCAAGAGAAAUCAAUAAUGAAAAUGAGCCUAGUGAAGGACUAGCACCUUCUGGUUCCUCUCCAAGAAUGGCUUUCUCUUCUGCUAUAUAAAUCACUCUCUCUAGGCUUCUUUUUUGACAUGUAUUUCAUUUCUCUUACACACUCCCAAUAUGUUCUUCCCUCCCAAAUGAUUUGAAAUGGACUUCAAUUUCCCCCUUUUUCCUAAGCAGUUUUAUAUCCACAAUAGCAUUAGUAUAAGCAAAUCUUGAUGUUUUAAUGGGCUAUGUUAAUGCCCUCGUGAAUGAACUAAAUUAUGUUUGUUUUUUAACCAUGCAAAUCACAGUACUGGAUGGUCAAGUUUGCAUUUUCAAAAGACAAAGGGUAAAUUCUUUAUUAUGGCUAUUAAAAAGAAGCACAACACUUUAGAGUUUAUAAUGAAAAUCAGAUGAUAUGUUGUCAUGAAAAGCUAAACUUAAAUUUAUUUAUUAGCUAUUACAAAGAUGUUUAUUCAGAAAUGAGAGUGACCUUGGAGUACUGAUGAAAGGUCAAAUUUACUUGUUUAUUUUCUCUACUGAAUUCUGUCUUUCUUCCUUAGGCUUUAUUUUGUUAAUUCUAGCAGUAUUUUUAAUUGUGGCUUGGCUUCUCAGGCUACUUGGAAAAGGUCACUUAGAUUAAAAAAAAAAAAAAAACAAAAAAUGUUUUGAUCCUUAGCUAUCACUUCUAGACUGACUUCUGAGAAACAUUUAAUGAAAACUAAUGAAAUUGUACAGUGAUUUUUAUUUGAAUAGCUAUGUCUCUUGGAGGAAUAUACCUUAGCUAGCAAGAAUGGCUGUGGGGAUAUUCAUACUAGAUGACAAUGUUAGUUAUGAUAUUAAACCCCGCAUACUACUUGCUUUACAUACUUGAACCCUAAAGUAAAAGUGAUGUCUCUAAAUAUAUUAGUAAAAAAGAAUCAUGGUUCACUUACCAGAAGUUUCUGGAUUGUUUUACCCUUCGCCUAAAGAAGCCACUGUGGACACUUCUUGCCUGUGCUCCAAGGGUUGUGUAUUGUGAAACAUGAAGAGGGAUAUGGAAGGAUGCCCUCUAAAUAGACAGAGGCAAGUUUCCUAGUUCUCAUGUUGAUGAGUCCACUCUUGCAUUACAUGUUUAAGUCAAGGUGACCUGGCUGCUUAGAACAGAUGCAGAAUACAGAAGGUUGUUCAAUGCUGUUCCAUUAUCAUGGCUCUCCCAGAUCCUACUGCCUGUUGGGUCAGGACAUAGUAUAUUUAAAAAUAUAUGCCCCUCCAACCUCCACACAUACACAUGUCUGAGAGACUUCAAUUACUCUGUCCACAUGUUUAAAAAACAAAAACAAAAAACAAAAAGCAAACAAACCUUGAUUUCUGAAUAUGAUCUGAGGAUUUAGAGAAAUAGGUGCUGUAGUUCAAGGAAUACCAAUCCUUUCAACCUACUUCACAACAUCAUAACACUGGUGUAUUUGUAUACACAGUCACAGAUGUUUGCAUCAGGUGUUUUCCUGUGGAUCAGAGGAUCAGGGGGCUUCAUAUUUUAGAUCAUUCAGAACAUUCAUUCAUUAGGAAUUGAGUCCCAAGCACAACUUCACAGAAACCCAUCUAUCUUGGCAUUCUUUCCAAUUGUAUGUGAUCUCUUCUGCUUACCCCUUUCCUCAACAGAAAUGAUUGUGAAUUCCUAUGACCGCAGCUACUGGGGGAAACAGAGACAGAACAUACGCUCAGGGCUAGCUUAGACAGUUUAGCAAGACCCUGUCUAAAAGCUGGAAGAUAGAAAGGAGGGAGGAGGGGAGGGAAAGAAGACAGGAGGAGUUAGGGACGAAUAUAGCCCAGGGCUCAAACCCUUGCCAAGCAUUUGAAGGUUUGUGGAUCUAUCUCUGGGGUAGAGGCAGUAUCUUCUCUUUUUCAGAUACAAUUUUUCUUUAUACUUACAUAUCUGGUCUGCCCAUCCUUUUUUUAUCUGUUUCGGCAGAUUACUAGCAGAGUUUUUCAGGGUGACUCUAUGGUACUAGUAGGGAAUCAUGAGUGGCCACAGGCUAUGAGGCACGCAGUGCUGCUGUCUGAGAAUGCAGUCGAUGCUCACUUAAGAAGAGGAAAGUGGAAUGCAGUGAUCUCCAACCCCCUUGACAUGCUUACUGAUAGCAGAUUCUCCGUUGUAUGGUUUCCCGCCUUUUCAUAAGUGGGAAGGUUUGAUUUCUAUCUCAGAUGUUAUCUUUUGUCUCAACAUCUGUUGUUGUUGUUGUUGUUGUUGUUUUAUUAAUGAAUAUGACAGUUUAUCCAAACUAUUGAUUGGCUCUCUUCUUGAAUCUAAGCUGGGACUGCUGAAACAUAAUUAUUAGUGUUCUUUGGGUUCGGAUGGCAACAGUGACUAAUGGUUGGGGAAAGGAUGGACCCCAAAGAUCUCCAUAUCCUAAUGUUUAAAAAUGAACAUGUUAGCCUAUACAGGGAAUAGGGCUUUAUAAUAAUACAAUCCACAGACCACAUGAAGCUCAAGAUGAAGGACAACCAAAGUGUGCAGGUUUCAGUCCUUCUUAGAAGGGGGAACAAAAAUAUUAAUAGGAGGAAAUACGGAGACAAAGUUUGGAGCAGAGACUGAAGGAAAGGCCAUCCAGAGACUGCCCCACCUGGAGAUCCAGCCCAUACACAUAUAGCCACCAAACCCAGACAAUAUUGCUAAUGCCAAGAAAUGCAUGCUGACAGGAGCCUGAUAUAGCUGUCUCCUGAAAGGCUCUACCAGAGCAUGACAAAUACAGAGGUAGAUGCUCACAGCCAACCAUUGAACCGAGAAUGGGGUCCCUGUUGGAGGAGUUAGAGAAAGGAUUGAAGGAGCUGAAGGGGCUUGCAACCCCAUAAGAACAACAAUACCAACCAACCAGAGCUCCCAGGGACUAAACCACCAUCCGAAGAGUACACAUGAACAGACCCAUGGCUCCAGCUGUAUGUGUAGCAGAGGAUGGCCAUGUUGGGCACCAAUGGUUGGAGAAGUCCUUGGUCCUGCAAAAGCUGAACCACCCAGUGGAUUUCCAGAGUAAGGGAAUAUCAGGGCAAGGAGGUGGGAAGGGGUGGGUAGAUGGAUAGGAGAACAUUGUCAUAGAAGAAGAGGGGGUUGGGAUAGGGGUUUAUGGACAGGAAACCAGGAAAGGGGAUAGCAUUUGAAAUGUAAAUAAAAAAAAAUCCAGUUAAAAAAAAGUUACCCGUGGAGUUAUAGGGUGGCAUUUUAACACAUAUGUACAGUAUGUUGAUCUGAUCAUGGUCAUUAACAUAGCCAUGACCAGUUGAAACCUUUUUUAUUUCUUUAUGCUGGACUUUCAAUAUCAUCUAUCACAUGUUCUGUUUGUCUUUCAAUAGGUGGCUUAUGUACCACAUGCCACUCAUGCAGAUAUGACUACAUAAUAUUCCAUUGUAAUGUUCUCUACUUUAUUCCUUGCUCUGUUGAAGAUGCUUAGGCUGCUUUUGUAGUUUAACUGUUGAAUUGUGCUACAAUAAACCUGGGUGUGCAGCUGUGUCUCUGACUGACUGAUUUCCAUUCCUAUAGACACAUACUCAGCAGAGAACUUGUGAUUAAGUAUUCAAAAUUCUCCAGAUGAGGGGAUGGCUAUGAGUUACCUGGUACAGGGGCAACUCAUUAUAACCACAAAGCCCUCCUCAGAGAGAAAAGGGUAUCAAAUCUGAGAUCACCAAAUUAGAAAGAACAGUGCAACUAGGGUACUUGCAAGGUCAAAGGUGUCUGGAGUGAAUCCCAGGGUCAUCCUCUAAGCUGGAAAAGGGCAAGAACAGUUUUCCUUAGAACACUGAGAAGGCCAUCUAAAAACCUUCAUUUUGUCUCAAGACAUUUCAGAUGCUGCAAAGUGAGAAUGAGUUGUUUUAGAACUAUAAACGUAAGCUAAACAUAGUGGUUCAUGCCUGUAAUCCUGCCAUUGGGAAGGCUAAGGCAUCCUGCUUUCGAUGAUCAUGAAUUUGAGGCCAACCUGGACUACAUAAGGAGAGCCUGCCUAGACAGCACACACACAGACUCCAUUCAUGUUACCAUAAUGCCCUAAUAGGAAGCUCACACAGACUGGGACUCUUUGGCUUCUGGUGAAAGCUGUGUUCAUUGAUUAUUCAUCUUUUCUUUUUCUAACUAAGGCAUGUUGUCCCAGUAGAUGCCUCAUGAUUAUCUGAAUUAGUUUUUCGUCACUGCAUAUUCAGAGAUCUUUUUUACCAUUGCUGGAUUUGGCUCAAGCCCCAUUCAACAAUGUAACCCUACAGCAUCGCAGAGCUUGCACAGCUGCAACUUACACCGUGACCUUUGUCAGGACGUGUGGGCCUUGUCUGUCUGUGUUUCUGGCCUUUGAGAGAUUGGGAGGCAGCGUUCCUAUCCCUGCCAACCCCAAAACACACGUGGCCAGCGGCAGGAAGGCAGCACAGGUAGAGUUCAUGAACGCUCUUAGCUGAAUUGUGAAGGCUGAGUUACUGUCCACCAUCAGACAGCGCCUGUGAGGGAUCGAGUUUGUUUCCCUGAUACAGUGAGCACCAGGGAACCAUACAACAUUUAAUCAGCUUAAAAUUCUCUCUCUUGGUGCUGGCUAGGUGAGUUCUGAUUUGUUUCUUUGGGGUUGGGUGACAGGCAGCAUACAGAAGUAGAUUACUGUAGGCAAAGCUUAGGUUCAGAUCGGUCUACAGGACAUGUUAAAUAGCUUUCCACUGACCUGGGACUAGUGUGGAGCUCCCAAAUAGUUGUGAUUAUCUGUAGAGAUCUCCUUUUAGAAAGGAAGUACAGAUGGACGGACUCAUCGGGAAGCCCAUUAGGGGAUUUUGCAAGAGUGAAUUUGGAAACAAGUUAGUAAGUGGGUCUAGGCAUGUCUAUGACUAGCUCCUUAGGCAUCCCACAGUCUCUUUCAGGUUUGAUGAUUCUAAGUCCUAGACAUCGAUCCAUGUCAGCAAAGCUAUUCUGUGUUCAGUGGGGAGUACUAACUUGUUCUAUAGAGGUCAUCUUCUUGGCCUUGCAGGCACUUCAGACAUCACCACUACAUAUUCCAGGGACUCCUGAACAUUUCAAAAACUUAGGAGAAUGCCGACUGCUUCUUACUUUAAUCUGUCUGGUACAACUGACAGUUAAAUCCUAGUGGUUCUGAGACUGUGUCCUGACCAGCUCUGAAGUAGAAAAGCCAACCCUUCAAAUACUGUCCUGUCUUCUCCCUCAUACCUCCAACUUGAUUUUCUCUGUUCAAACUGUUUCUACUCUACAAUUACAAGAUCGACCUUUCAGCAUUGCCUCUUCAUUGUGUUUCUCUUGUCCUAAGUUCCACAUAAGCUUGUAAAGUCAGUGAUUAGUAACCUGAAGAAACAACAGUCUGGAACACAUUUGAAAAGGACUCGAUUUUUCUUUUCUUUUUUUUUUUUAAACACCUUAUUAAAUUGAGUACUUCUCUUUAUUCUUCUGUCCACAUUUAUUCAAAACAUAAGGAAAAGAGGUAAUAAUGUUGAACUUUUAAGGAUAUAAAAAUAACAAAAAUUGUUAGUAAGCCUCAGCUGUAGAAAGGAAGGUUUGCGCGCACUGCUCACAGAGGAUCCUCACCAACCCUGUCAAGCACUUGGUGGACUACCGUAUUGAGUUUGAGGCUUCAUCUAGGGUGGAGUACAGUAUGCAAAGCUCUCAUGAAGGAAAGGGCUGUUUUGAAGACACCAGGGAUCUUCAGGAUUAUAGACCCUAUGUAUGCAUGUGGGGUAGAGCAGCACACCACUUCCCCAUAGGCAGCAAGGGCUCACCCACUGGAGAUGGGGAUUGAAAAGUGACUUCCUGGGGCCAGAGAGAUGGCUCCACAGUUAAAAGCACUGGCUACUCUUGUAGAGGACCUGGGUUCCACUCCCAGCACACACAUGAUAGCUUUAGUUUCAGGGGAUCUGACUCUUCUGACCUCCAUAGGCAAUAGGUACACAUGAGGAUCAUAGAGACACAUGCAGGAAAAGCCUCAUAUAUUUAAAAUAAUUUUUAGGAGCAUAAGCUCCUGAUUUUUCUCAGUCAGAACCAAAUCAUUCCCCCUGAGUAUGCUCAUUGUUAGCAUCUCAGUUGACUCUUGCCUAUCUUCCCAAACCUCGAUUAGGUCCUGAUGUGAGUGGAUGAUCUCUGUCACCAUGUUAAUCAGCAGUGUGAGCAGUGGGGUGUUCACUGUACAGUGGAGACUAGGUUCAGCAGAAGUCCUGAACCUGUGAUGAUCUUUGCUCAAGACGUAAUAGAGCAGCAGGGUUUGAAAAGCAGGAUUUUGGUGAUAGCUGUUCAAAAGACCCCUGAUAAUCUUAAGCCAUUUCAAAACAAACAAACAAACAAACAAACAAACAAACAAACAAAAACAUCUAUGUCAUUGAUUGAGCUUCUAGUUAGUCUAAGAACUAACCAUUUCAAGUUUCUUUUAAAAAUCUAAAUGUAGGAUAAUGAAGAGUCAGUAUAGCAUCCAUUCAGUGAGAGUGACCUCUGGUUUUGAUUUGUGAUGAUCUUUUUUUAUUAUUAUGUUUAUUUUUUUAAUCAAGCCAUUGCCCCCACUCCUGGUCCCCUCUCCUACAAUUCUUCAUCCCAUUUCCCCUUCCCCCUACCUCCAAGAUGGUGUUCCUCACACACACACACACACCAGACCUCCCCACUCCCAGGGGUUUCAGGUCUCUUGAGGGUUAGCCACAUCUUCUCCCACUGAGGCCAGCCUAGGAAGUCCUUUGCUAUAUUUGUGUCAGGGGCCUCAGACCAGCUCCUGUAUGCUGCCUGUUUGGUGGCUCAGUGUCUGAGAGAUCUCAGGGAUCCUCGUAAGUUGAGAUUGCUGAUCUUCCUAUGGGGUUGCCCUCUUCCUCAGCUUGUUUCAGCCUUUCCCUAAUUCAACCACGGGGGUCCCCAGCUUCAGUCCAAUGAUACUGAUAGUAUCAGUAAUAGUGUCAGGCCUUGGAGCCUCUCUUUGAGCUGGAUCCCAAUGUGGACCUGUCACUGGACUGCCUUUCCCUCAGUCUCUUCUCCAGUUUUGUCUCUGCAGUUCUUUUAGACAGGAACAAUUCUGAGUCAGAAUUUUUGACUGUGGGAUGGCAAUCCCACCCCUCCACUUGAUGCCUGUCUUUCUACUGGAGGACUCUGCAAGUUCCCUCUCCCCACUGUUGGGCAUUUCACCUAAGGCCCCUCCCUUUGAUUCACCUCCCAAGUCUCUGGUACUUUCUAGACACCCCCACCCAAAGUUUCAUAUUUCCAUUCAUUCGGGGCUUCUCUCCUGUCUCAUCCACAUACCUGAUUGUGUUCUUCUUUUCCCCUCUCUUUCCUCACUCCAACCCAGAUCCCUCUUUCCCUCUGCCUCCUAUGAUUAUUUUCUUCUCAUUUCCAACUGGGAUUGAGGCAUCCUCACGUGGGCCCUCCUCUUUGUUAACCUUGAGUUCUGUGGAUAGUAUCCUAGAUACUUUGUGACUAAUGUCCACUUAGUGAGUACAUAUCAUGCAUGUCCUUUUGAGUCUGAGUUUCCUCAGUCAGAAUGAUAUUUUCUAGUUCCAUCCAUUUGCCUACAAAACUCAGGAUGUCCUCAUUCUUAAUAGCUCAAUAAUAUUCCAUUGUGUAAAUGAACCUCGUUUCCUGUAUCCAUUCUUUGUUUGUGGGACAUCUGGGUUGUUUCUAGCUUCUGGCUAUUACAAAUAAGGCUGCUAUGAACAUAGUGGAGUACAUGUCCCUGUGGUGUGGUGGGGCAUCUUUUGGGUAUAUGCCCAUGAGUGAUAUAGCUGGAUCCUCAGGUAAAUUUAUUUCCAAUUUUCUGAGGAACCUCCAGACUGAUUUCCAGAAUGGUUGUACCAGCUUGCAAUCCCACCAGCAGUGGAGGAGUGUUCCUCUUUCUCCACAUCCUCGCCAGCAUCUGCUGUCACCUGAGGUUUUCAUCUUAGCCAUUCUCACUGGUACAAGGUGGGAUCUCAGGGUUGUUUUGAUUUGCAUCUCCUUGAUGACUAAGGACUUCGAACAUUUCUUAAGUGCUUCUCAGCCUUUGGAGAUUCCUCUGUUGUGAAUUCUCUGUUUAGUUCUAUACCCCCCCCCUUUUUUUAAUUGGGUAGUUUGGUUUUUUUGGAUGUUAGCUUCUUGAGUUCUUGAUCUAUUUUGGAUAUUAACCCUUUAUUGGUUGUGGGGUUAGGAAGAUUUUUUCUGAAUCUGUAGGCUGCCGAUUUGUCCUAUUGACUGUGUCCUUUUGCCUUAUAGAAGCUUCUCAGUUUCAUGAGGUUCCAUUUAUUACUUCUUAGACACUAAUGGUCUGUUUAAGAAAUCCCCCCACCAAGUCCCAAUGAGUUCGAGGCUCUUUCCCACUUUCUCUUCUAUUAAAUUCAGUGUAUCUGGUUUUAUGUUGAGCUCCUUGAUCCACUUGAACUUGAGCUUUGUGCAAGGUGAGAAAUAUGAAUCUGUUUUCAUUUUUCCUACAUACACGCUGCCAGUUAGACCAGCACCAUUUAUUGGAGAUGCUUUCUUUUUUUCCAUUGUAUAAUUUUUGCCUCUUUGUCAAAGAUCAAGUGACCAGAGGUGUGUGGGUUUAUUUCUGGGUCUUCACUUCCAUUACAGUGAUGGACCUGACGGUCUCAAUACCAGUACCAUGCAGUUUUAACCACUAUUGCUCUGUGAUACAGCUUGAGGUCAGGGAUGGUGAUUUCCCCCAGAAGUUCUUUUAUUGCUAAAAAUUGUUUUUGCUAUCUUGGAUUUUUUGGUUUUCCAUGUGGAAAUGAGGUUUCCUCUUUCCACGUCUUUGAAGAAUUGGGCUGGUAUUUUGAUGGGGAUUGCCUUGAAUCUGUAGAUCGCUUUUCGUAGGAAGACCAUUUUUACUGUGAAUCCUACCAAUCCAUGAGCAUAGGAGAUCUCUCCAUUUUUUUGAGAUCUUCGAUUUCUUUCUUAAGAGACUUGGGGUUUUGUCAUACAGAUCUUUCACUUGUUUGGUUAGAGUCACAUCAAGAUAUUUUAUAUUAUUUGUGAUUAUUUUGAAGGUUGUCAUUUCCUUGUCUUCUUUCUCAACCCAUUUAUCAUUUAUAUAAAGGCAAUCUAUUGAUUUGUUUGAGUUAAUUUUAUAUCCGGCCACUUUAAUUUGUAAUGAUCUUUUAAAAAACCACAUGAAGCAAACUUACAUUGUAUGUUCAAUUUAUUUCUUCAAACUUUGUUUUUAUUUUGGCAUUAACUUUUAUCCUGCUUUUAGGAAUUUUUAAUUGCCAUGACUGUGAUAAAACUUUUGAUUACACGUGUAUUUUCUAUGUUAGGCAGCUUGGUGGCAGGUGUUAUAACUAACAAUGACUGACUGGAUUUAUUUGGAGAAUAUAAAUUCUGUCCUUUGAAAAGUCAUUUUUACUAUAUUUCAAUAUAUGCUUUUGGGGAGGUUUCUUCAGUUUGAUUAUGUGCCUUGUUUGGUAUAAGCUGCAGAAAAAUUACAAAGGUCUACAUAAUUCUGUGUCUUUUAUGAACCUGAUUUAUUAAAAUUGUAAGAUUCAAUUUGAACUCAUUUUUAUUGCCUCAAUAAUGGCUUUAGACGAGAUGAGACUCUGGACUAACUUCUGAGGAGAAGGAGCUUAUGGUGCUGUAUUACAGUCUUGAUCUUGUAUUUCUUUCUCUGUGGUAAGUAUGGUUCAAUAAUAAUUCCACAUAUCUCCUCUUUCAGGGGAAUUAGAAGUGUAGUUUUAAGAAUUAGAGCUGAUGUUAAAUGUACAUUGGGGCAACAGGAUCGAUUCGGUAAUGUAGCAUGAAUCUCGUUUCUAUAAUUAAGAACACGAGAAUCAAACCAAGUGGUUAGCGUUCAAAUGGACAAAAGUGUAUUCCACCUGAGUCUUCUCCCCUUGGAUACAUGUGUAGUUUUGCUCUAUGCAGCAGUGUACCCUAGAACAGUGCAUUCUACAACAAGAAGUCAGGAGGGGUGAGGGGAGGAGGAGAAAGCGUGCACUGUGAGAUUAUCAGUGUGUGACUGACAGCGUGGGCUCUGCUUCAUGUGUGUCCUGCCUCUCGUCAUCUUUGCAGGAUUUAAGAUUUCUGCUUGGCAGAGCAGUUAGCUGGCCUCAGUGUCACCAAGUUGGUUUGCCUCACAGCGAGGUAGAAAACUGGGACUGCUGCUGUAUUCUUUCUGCUCUCUUGUUCCUUGCUGUUAUAAAAAGCAAAUGAAAUAUUAAUUCCAGGAAUUUACAAAAAUUUUAGAAAACAAAAUCCUGACUUUUAAAUUAUGUCCUUUUAGGGCAAUUGCAUGUGUGGUUUUAGAAAUGCUUUUAACUUAUUUUUUUUAAAGCUUUCUGGUUUUCUUUGGUGUACAUGUGUGUCUGUCCGAAGACAGCUUACGAGGUGUUUGCUCCAUCCACUGCAUGGGCUCCAGAGACGGAGGCCAGCUGUUUGGCUUGGAGGCGAGCACUGCUCCCAGCUGAACUGCCUUCACUGGCCUGUUGUUGAGUGCCUAGAAGACCUUAGACUUAGGUAUGUGGACUCAGUCGCUUUCCCAAGAUUCUUCAGUUUUGCUCUGUAUGUUCUCACGUGUCCACUUUUACGAGAGUUUACACACAAGCAUCUUUCUUCUGAAUCCUUCUUGUGUUCGUGCUCCUUCCUUUCCCUCCUAAGAGAGGACAGUCAGAAAGAGACACAGCAAGACUUUUCCCAUGAACAGCCUGUACAGACAACAGACAACUCCAUGCUGUAGUCAUUAGUGUAUGUUUCCGAAGAGGGGAGCCAUAGGUAAUUACAUUUUAGUAGAAUUUGAGAACUUUAGCAUUGAUCGUUUUAUCUGAUCAACAGUUCAUUUUCUGGGUUCAUCACAACUCUCAACAGCGUCUGCAGCAGUGUUCUCCUGCCUGUGUGAUGUACAUGGUUACAACCUGUUGUCCCUUCAUCCCCAGGUCCUUCGUACGCUUUUCCUUUCCCAGUUUGAGCCUGAGAUCUCUUCACCGUUAGGCUAAGGUUAUAGUUUCUGUGUGUCUGUGUUUAUGUGCUUGGGUCCACCAGAGGAAAGAUGAAGAUGUGCCCUCAGCAUGGCACAUCUGGAGGUUGUCAUGUGCUCGUGCCCCUUGUUAGGGACUUUAAAUUGGUUACUGCUUAAGAGCACUGUCUGGAUUCUCUGCCUUACGUGUUUGGACAAAAUCUGUUAAUCCAAGUAUGUCACAGGAGACAGAGUGAUGAGGCUACAAAAACUAAAAUGUCUCAAAUGACUUAGGUCCCAUUUCCCACUUUCUGACUACCUAAAUGGCUACAGUCACGCACCUUAAGACAUUUUUCACUUUAGUCUCGAUCCAUUCCAAAUUUUUGGAUUAUUUUUAACAGUUCUUAAGCCUGAGCCUAUCUUUAAAAAAUAAAAUAAAAUAGCUCAAAUUUAGACCAGGGCAGAGAAGGAAGCUAAAGUUAGAAAAGGCAGGGUUGCCCCCCCUGAAGUGCCUGAUCGUUUACUUGGCAGUGGAUAAUACGUGUAGACUUUCCUCUUCAGAACUGUGCCGAUCAAAAACGCAUGUGGGUUGAGAGGAGCUGGGGAGAUUUAUGGAUGAUAAAAAUCUCCGCUCGAAGGAGAAUUUACAGGUCAUGUCUGAAACGUUUCUCCUGGUGUUCAGUAAGACUCAUCACUAACUCCGGCUGCAUGGAAAUUGGUGUUGGCUGCUGCAGUCAGAAAUACUUCCCUUCCAUCUUACCUCUCCUGCCCUUCCUCUCAACCUCUGGUAUCUGUGCAAUCACAAAAAUAUCUCUCAAGUGACUUUGUGGUGUUUUGAACUUGUUAUUUUAGGGAAAACUAAUAUAAAGAAAUGGGAGGAACAUUCCCAUGUAAGAUCCAGCUAGUUCUGGAGCCAAGAAGGAAAAGCUAUCAUUCCACCGCCAGAAUGCCCUUUUACUGGUACAAGUGUCCCUUGUAGGUUAUGAGCUUGGUUCUUAUGCAGUCUCUGAAUAAAGUGUACAAAAAUAGGAUUUUUAGCUUCAUCUUAAGUUUCCUUGGGCUGUGUUUUUUUUUUCCUGGUUGUGACAUGGAGUGCUGACUUCUUGUUUUGUUUUAUAUUAGAUUUUUUAAAGGAAUUUCUAAGUUUGUUGUAUGUAUAUGAACUAUAGGGCUUUAAAAUAUCUCCUAAGGAUUCUUCAAUGAAUAAAAAGAGAGAUCUGAUUUUAUUCUCUUAUUAAGAAAUCUAUCAGAACUAUAGUUUCAGGUUCAUGGCAUAUUUUUAUUGGAUAUUUUCUUUAUUUACAUUUCAAAUGUUUUCCCCUUUACCAGUUUCCCCUCUGGAAACCCCCUAUCCCAUCCCACCUCCCCCUUCUUCUAUGAGGGUGCUCCCCUACUCACCCACUCCCUCCAGCCUCUCUUCCCUGGCCUUCCCCUACACUGGGGCAGCAAGCCAUCACAGGACUAAGGGCCUUUCCUCCCACUGAUGCUGGACAAGGCCAUCCUCUGCUAUAUAUGAGGAUAGAGCCAUGGAUCACUCCAUGUGCACUCUUUGGUUGUUGGUUUAGUCCCUGGGAGCUCUGGGGUGUCUGGUUGGUUGAUAUUGUUGUUCUUCCUAUGGGGUUGCAAACCUCUUUAGCUACUUCAGUUCUCUCUCUAACUUCUCCAUUGGGGACCUGUUCUUAGUCCAAUUGUUGGCUGUAAGCAUCCACCUCUGUAUUUGUCAGGCUCUGGCAAAGCCUCUCAGGAGACAGCUAUAUCAGGGUCUUGUCAGCAUCCUUAACCCAUAAAGAUAAAUUAGACUCAGGAGCGCUGUGAUAGCUGGAAAGCAGUUGAGCACUUGACCACAGAGUGGAGUGGGCCAGAGAAACUAAGGUACCAGUUCAUACACAGCAGGCCCUUCUCCACAGGUUCAGCCAUCCAUGGAUAAAACCAUUUAGGGAAAAAUGCCUCUGUACCAAAGCAACGCUAUUCCUUGUCAUCACUCCCUUAAUAGUGCAAUAUGACCACUACUUACCAAAGACUUCUAUUGCAUUGUAAGUAAACAAGAGAAGAUUCAUUUUAAAGUAUACCAAAGGACCUGUGUGGGCUACAUAGGCUCAAUGCAGUUGCCACCACCUUUUGUAAAAGGGACUCGAGCAUCUAUACUUCUUUGUAUCUUUGGAAGUCUUGCAACCAAUUCAUCCCUAGUGCUGGAAUACAGAUGCUGGAGAUUAGAUUCAAGUGGUUUGGGAAUUAGCUGGUACUUCUUUCUAUAAGAGAAAAUGAGGCAGGAAGAGAAAACACUAUGAUAAGGAAAUCUAUAAACUAUGAAGGAGUUAGGUUCUGCUUUCCUCCUACGUCCAUCUCUGGUUUCUAGGUGACAUCCCUCCCCCUGUCCCACCUGAAACCCAGUGUGAUGGUUUGCUCAUGCUUAGCCCAGGGAGUGGCACUAUUAGAAGGUGUGGGCUUGUUGGAGGAAGUGUGUCACUGUGGGGUGGGCUUAGAGGCCCUCCUCCUAGCUGCCUGAGGAUGCUCAGUCUGUUCCCGGUUUUCUUCGUAUGAAGAUGUAGAACUCUCAGCAGCUCCUGCACCAUGCCUAUCUGGAUGCUGCCAUGCUCCCGCCUUGAUGAUAAUGGACUGAACCUAUGAACCCGUAAGCCAGCCCCAAUUAAAUGUUGUUCUUUGUAAGACUUGCAUUGUUCAUGGUGUCUGUUCACAGCAGUAAAACCCUAACUAAGAUACCUGGUGACUACUGCAUUCACAGAAGGUGACAGUAGAAAUUCUAUGGGUAGAAGGACACUAGAUAUGGUUGAGAGCAAGCAGAUUCCAGUCGGUAUCUAAACUUAGAAUGCUGUUUGUAUUAAGCAAGUAGAACACUGCCAGUAACGUAUGGCUUUGCCUUCUGGUGAAGAGUUUAAAAGUGUCUCUUUGGGAAAGCUGAGAAACAUUGCCUACAGAAGUUCUAGAGUUAAACCGUCUAGGUGGAUCACUGCAGUGUGGCCUUGGGAAUGCCAGUCACCUGUCUCCAUCCCUUAUGUUUAGAAUGAAUACCCUCAUGGACUCUCAGACAUCUCAGAAAAGUUAACAGCUGAUAUGAAACAAAAGACUAGUGUCAACAGACCAGAGUGGUUAGGAAUAGAAAACAAAUGGGACUCUGAGUGGAGGAGACAACUCUAGGAACUACCAUCAAUAUUAAACUCAUGGAGCAAGCUCAGGGCACCAUUUCAAAUACUGCUCUAGAAGCUAAAGGGGAACUCUUAAAACCUGCAAACAUGGCAACAAAUGAGGAAAAUACCAUGGGGUGGGUGCAAAGUAGAGCAUAGGGUGGAAGGGAAGUCAAGCAUGCACCUAGAAAAUAGGAUAAAAUGAAAUUGGGUAGAAAAUAUUGUUGCAAUAUUCAACAUUCAAAUAACAGGAAUUCUAAACAGACUGAAGAGAAAAAUAAUGAAAUAAUUCAAAAGUACUUCUAAUGACUUCAAAAGUUGCCUGAAUCAUGAAUCUGUAGCAGACUUAAACCACGACAGGGGGAAAGAACCAGUUCAUGUUGAAACACUUGGGGAUCAGAGUGUCUCAGACUUCUGGACAGCACCCAAAGAACAUUCAAUGACCAAUGCUAAAGAAAAAUGCUUCCCAGUCUAUGAUUCUGUGCUGUUAUCAGAAAGCUUUUAAAGACAGCCUGGGCAUCAUCAAAUAAGAGAGUGGGUGAAGGAAGAGGACACAGGAGAAAGGAAGCAUAUGGCUUAGCACAGAUAAGAGGUGAGCAGACCUCCAGUAUGCCAAAGGAGACAGCCAUGUGCCAGACCUUGAGAGCAGACAGAUCAAAUAAAACCAGCCAGAGCUUUGAAAGAAUCUUCUUCCAGAAGAUGAAAAGGGAGGGCUGGGAUUGUAGCUCACCCGUAAUGUGCUUGCCUAGCAUGUCCAAGGUCUAGGAGACCAGUUCCAGCUCCAACUCCAUUAAAAAAGUUUUAUUUCACAAGUCUAACUUUAUAUCGCUAUCUAAAUCAUGAAAAGAAAACCAUGGUCCGUUAGGAUUUUUCUGAAAAUCUUCAGUUAAAUAUUGCCAAGCCAAAUCAAAGUAUAUUACAAAGAUUGUAUAUCAUGGCCCAGUGGAACUUGUCCCGGCCAUGCAAAGCUGGAUUAACUUAACAUUAAUUAUUAAGUUGUAACUUAAUAAUUGUGAUAUAUACAGCAGUGAAAAAACAAAACAGAAAGGAUCAUGAUCAUCUCAGGUGACAAAAGGCAUCAGACAAGUUCAUGGUUUUUUCUUAACAAGAGCUACUGCAAAACUACCAGCAGUUUCUAAGUUCAGACAAAAUCCUCAAUAUAAUUAAGGCUAUUUAUCAAAACCAAAAAACAACAAAACCCAUAAAAAAACCAACAAAACAAACAAACAAACAAAGGCAGGUAUUAUAACAGAAGAAGCUAAAAGCCUUUACCUCAAUAUCUGCUUGACAAAGAUGGUUUCUUCUCUCAUUUUCUAUGUUACUGAAAAUACUAAUGAAUAAUCAGGCAAGAAAAAUAAAUAAAGACAUAAAACAAGACAGAAAGAAAGUCUUUGUUUAAGGAUGUUACCUUCUGUGUGGAAUGCAGGUAUGAAUCCACAAAAUCAAUUCACUCAAGUUGAAAACACACUUGCAGUGCCAUAUGAAAUUACUGACCAAAUUGGCAAGUGCAAGGCCCUGGGUUCGGUCCCCAGAUCCGAAAAAAAGAAAAGAAACAAAAAAAAAAAAGAAAGAAAAAGAAAAUACUGACCAAGUUGGGGGGAAAAAACCAAGUCUCUUUUUAUAAUAGUAUUUCAAGAGUAAAGUUAGACAAUGAAGUGAAAGAUGUUGGUAGGACAGAACUAUUUAAAACAUCAAUAGAAGAAACUGUAGAAGAUACAAGAAUCUAAAGUUCAUGAGCCAAAAUAAUUAAUAUUAUUAAAAUGACAGUAUUCUCCAAAGAUUCAAAACUAUCAGACACAAAUUCAGCACAACCCUUGUUAAAACACCCUAUGGUAUUCUUUACAAAAAUGGAAAAACUCAUUAAAUAAUUUAUGUGGAAUCAUGAAGACCCUGAAUAGCCAAAGCAAUUCUGAGAAAGAAAAAGGCACCACAUAGUCUGUUUUAAAGUUAUAUUAAUAGCAAGACUGUCAAGUUGCCUUAAAAGCAGAUUCAUUGAUGACUCAGGCAGAAGAGAGUAGAAAGAGAAUUCCAAGCUUGUGGUGAACUCCUUUUCAACCUUGGCACUAGAGGACCAAAUCUGUCUAAGACAGGGUAAUCUGUCUAAUAAGUGCUGUGAGAAAACUAGAUUCCCACAUGUGAAAGGAUCUGACUGAAACCGUAUCUCACCUAACCCCAAGUAUCUGCAGAGUGAGGUGGUUAGGCUUCAGCCACACGCUCCAGAUGAAACGGAAGGCAGAGACAUCCUCAUAAAAUCUUGACUUUUUUUUUUUAAUAUCACAUGGAAACUUGGGCUUCGAAACUAAAAAAGAAAUAGGGCAGUACUGAGCAAUAUGGUCUGCAUAGCCAGAGAAAUCGUCAACAUAAUGCUAGCUACACUGGGCAACGUUUUAAUCUUAUGUCUGAAAAGAGAAUGACAGCCAAAGUUGGAACAGAUUUCAUAUAACAUUUAAAUGAUAAUAUAAAGUGAUUUUAAACACACACACACACACACAUGAACACACACAUACGCACACAUACACACAUACACACACAUGCACACACACAAAUCAGAAAAUAAUCAACAAAUGUUUUGGGAGUAUUAAGGAAAGUAGGUCCUGAAAACAACUAAUAUAUACAAAAUAGUCUGUGUGGAAGCAGCCUCUUCAACCUGAAGUGUGGGUUCGGCGUAGCUGUGGGUCAGUGGUAGUUUGGAUAUGCCCUAUAAAAAAUCCCUGUACUGGGGACUUGGCAUUUGGUUUGGUGGUGCUGAAGUGGUAGUGCCAUUAAAAGAUGAGCCCAAUAGGCUAGGUUCCAAAGUGAAGUGUUUGCUGAGCAUGUGUGAGGCCCUGGGCUCCAUCUCAGCAAUACAGGAAGACUUAGUGGGAGGUCCUAGCCUCACCCCUUCCAACCUGUGUUCCUGUCUCUGUGUGGUGCACCCCUCAGUCUCAUGCCCUGGAUCCCUCCAAAACUCUGAUUAAAAUUUACAAUCUUCAGGUAUUUUGUUAUAGUGAGGAUUCAUGGAUAUGAAUAUAACACACUAGAAAAAUGCUAGCUUCUCCCUGCUAUUGAUGGUUUUGUUACAAAUGGCUCUCUCUACAUUCUGCUCCAAACAAGAAUCACAGACAGGCAAGGAACAACUCAGACUUAAGAACUGAGUUUCCAGACGUCAAAGCUUCUAAUCCUAAGCCUUGGGAACCAGAGACCGAAGUACAUCGCUCAAGGCUUCAAUGCCAGCACCCAGCAGCUAGUGCUCCUACCAGAGAGCUUUCAUGGGUUUUAUGGACUCAGUGUCGUUGGUAUCGAAUGACACAGGGGAAAGCUUAGCAGUCUGUUCCGCUUUGUACUUUUUCUAACUUCCUUCCCCCACCCUCACCACAUACUGGUAUGCCUGAGCCCUCUCUUCUGGUAGCUUCAGUUCUGCAUGGCAAAGGUCAGCCUUCGAAUCUACAUCCGGUGGACCUCUGUAUAGGAGCCCUGCUCUACAACAUGAAAAGUUCCUGCCUCCAGGUUCCUGCCUUGAGUUCCUGCUCUGAUUUCGCUAGCUGGUGCACUGUAAGCUAGAAGCUGGAGUAAAACCCUGCCUCCCCUUGUUGCUUUUGGUCAUGGUGUUUAUCACAGCAAUAGAAACCAAAUUGAGAAGUGGGGUGUGGCAUUCUUGUCCCCUCUGCUGUGAAGCCUGGUAUCUCAGAGCAUGUAAGUGUCUGCCACAUCCUGAAUGCUUAUUGGUUGUUCCUUUAGUCUUUAUGUAAGGAGAAACCACAGUGUAUCUGUUGGUUUUAUGCAUCAUGAUAAUUCUUCCAUCCCGCACAACAUUGUCAUUCCUGUAUCCUAUAGUAUUUGUCAAUAGAGAAAAGAACUUUAUAAAAAUGCAAACAUAAUUUAAGAUUUUUUUCUUUGAGUAUACAUUGAAUGAGAGAAAAAUUUCAUGGAAGACAAGUCUGAAACUUUGACUUGUUUACGAUGAUAGUCCUAGAGUCCUGACGCAUCAUUUAUAGCCUUAACAGUGCCAUCCAGACUGCUGAUGGGCAUGAAAUUUAACAAUCUGCUUGGGAGUCAUGAACUGGAUGUCCAUUCUGUGGAGACACUCUUAUUAAGCAGUAGUUAUACCAGACAUUGCCAUCCAGAACAUUUGGAAUUCAUUUUGCCAACGUGUCAGCACUCAGUGUGUGCGUAGAUGCUGGUUAGGUAUGUACAAGACUUGGCUUUUCCUCCUUGUGAGUUCAUGAGCUCUGUUAAGUCAAUAAUGCCAGGCUGGCUUGCUUUCAGAUGCACUAGUAUGGUGCCUGCAGAAUGGAGGUUAUGUAGAACGUGGAUUAUUGGAGUCAGCUCAGAGAACAGACUGUAUGUGAAGGCGGUAAUCGGUGAAGCAGGACAGUGGGUCAGGAGGCUCGUAGGACAGAGGAGAACAACCAUGUGGUGGAAGGCUCCAUCAAAGAAUUGAAUGGAUAUGUGGUUUGGGGAUUGAUCCGACUCUGAGAGAGUAUAAAGGACAAAAGAAUGUGGAAUCUGACCAGAAAUAGGCUGGAGUGCUGUCUUUCCUUCUAUACCCAACAUGCUUGGUGACAUAGAUUGACUUUUCCUUGGAAGUAAAUGUUCUCUGUAGAAAAGGGUGUACCAGUACAUAGGCAUGGCUGCUCCCUUCCACUUCACCACAUAUCACCAUCUCCACACAGGCAGCCUUCCCUCGUUAUUGCCCACUGAGGGCCCCAGUGAUGGGUCCGUACAAUCGCCUUGUUAUUUGAGGUGUUUCCUACUGAUGCUCUCCAUGCUUUCGAAUCACCUCCACAUUGUAAUAUCUGCCCAAUUUGAUGUGUGUACUGUUAUGCUGGGGUAAUUAGACUCAUCAACUCCGUAAUUCUUCCCUUAGCACUGCCAUCUUGUCCUGCAGGAAAUGCUUCCACUGUCCUCUCCACCCAACCAGUGGAGAGCCCACUCAGUGUAUGAAGGAUGACCUUCGUUAUUUCUCAACCCUUACUAGAGACUAACGAGUAAUGUCUUCCUGAGACUUGCAGCUGUGUCUUGUUUUUUCCCCUAUGGUCACAGAAGAGGCCUCUCACAGAACAGUAAGGAAACACUCCUAUGCCUCAGAAAAAACAGAGGGACUGGCUGGGGAUGUAGCUCAGCGGCAGAACACGUUUUAUUUUAUUUUUUUUAUUUUAUUUUAUUUACUUAUUUGUUUGUUGCUGCUUGUUUGCUUGUGGAGGGCCCUGAGUUCCAUCCUCAGAAUGUGAAUAACAAACAAUGUUGUUAGCAGAUAAGAUUUGAAGCUCUUCCCUGUUUUCUUCUGUACUUGAGGGUGCACACCAACCAUAUUCCACAGCAGGUUUCCAACUGGUUUCCGAAACUUUGAGAUGUGUGGUUCAUAUUCCAGGGGCCUUUUUUCUUCCUCCUUACUUGGCUUUCUUGGAGGAUUGCUAUCUCAGGACCACCAUUGGAGGACUGACAAUACAAACACGAGAUUGCUGACUGACCCUGGUAUUGUCCAUGCUUUUAAUAAAGCUUCUGGUGCUUUCCACACAUAGUAAAGGGCUAGGCUUAUCAAAUUAGUUUUCCCUUUCUUUUCCGAAGCAUUCACCAACUUAGGAAUGUAGCAUCAGCCCACUCUGCAGCCCACGCUCUGUGUGGCCCAGAGGGAUUCCUGGAGAGAGAAGCUAUGUCAUAAGUAAGGGAAAGGUUAGGAAGCAAGGCAGAGCUGCAGGCAUAGUGUAGAGCUGAAGAUUAAAAGUUCCUGAUGAUGGCAGGAACCAAAGGAUGUUAGGGAACUGGCCUAGUAGCAUAGAAGUCAGAAGCCAGCUUAAGGAGCAUCCUGGAUCUCAAAUUUAACCAUGCCUUGGGAACAGCGAGCUGUCUAGAGUCCCGCAAGACCAAUUAAAUCUGAGACACUGGAGAGGACAGAAGCAUCAGUGAUUCUCGCCUGCAGCAAGGGGUGGAUAUCACUGGCGUAUUCCAACUGCCUCUCAGCCUUAGGAAGCUCUGAGCAGACAGCUAGCUAGAUAGGGUCAGGAGACACACAUCUCUCCUUUCUCACUCCAUUAUCUCCAUAUAUGAUCUCAAACCAGUUCUGCUUCAGAGGACACCAGUGCGCUCAGAACCCCCAAACCUGUGGCCUUCGUACCCUCUGCUGGGCACCGGCUGCUUCUCAUUACUCCCACGUGGUUCCCAGCCAGUUCGUUCUCCUCCACAGCCUGCUUGUUCAGGCCUAUUCAUUCCAUCAAAGAGCUGAAGCCAACCUCUUGGAAUCUCUUUUCUUUCUUCUCUUCUAUACUGUGACUUAGUCACCAGGUGCCAGCCAUCCUGCCUCUCAGCUUGUGUAAUCCAGCCCACCCUCUCACCUCACCUGAGCUUUCCCAGGGAGUAUUAUCAUUUGAUUGGGAUGGUUUCAGUAGCAUGGGUGGUUUCUCACACCACCAUGGGAGGGAUUGAUCUUGGUCUGACUGGGCUCCAUCUUCAAUCUCUUUGGGGACCUCUUUCUGAAUCCCAAGUUUGACCAUCUCUUGCUCUAUCAAUUCAUAUCGUGUCUUCUGCUCAUUUAACCUUUCCUUUUUACCAGCCAGUUCUGUCUAUGUGUGUGCCUAUACUCAGCCUGCUUCCUCACCACCUGUAAAUGGCAUCGCUGCCUGUCAACUCAGUUUUGUGGAAAUCUAAGCUGUCAAGCAAGGGUUGUUGUUCCUUCAACCCAAUGCUGUCACAUUGCAAAGGAAACUUAAUGGGUCCACUGUUGUCUGUAUCCUAGCAGCAAUGAACGAGAGUUAGACUUCCUGUAGAGGAAGGAGGCUAAAAGAUCCCCUCAUACAUGAAACCCCAGGCAUGUCUCAUACUAUGCUCUGGCUGCCUUCUACCACGUCCUUGAUUUAGUGGCCAUUUCUUCUAAGACAAUGGUUCUCAACCUGCGGGUCAUGACCCUGUGGGGAAUGCAUAUCAUAUAUUUACAUUAGAUUUCGUAACAGUGGCAACAUUACAGUUACGAAGUAGCAGUGAAAUAAUGCUAAGGUUAGGGCUCAGCACAACAUGAAGAGCUGUAUUAAAUGUUCUCAGUGUUAGGAAGGUUGAGAAGCUCUGUGUGAGACCUGGUCCUAGCUCUUCUGUGUGUGUGUGUGUGUGUGUGUGUGUGUGUGUGUAUGCGGUUAGAGGACCUCCUUGUACAUUAGUUCUCUCCUUCCACCCUCACAUGGGUUCUUCAGAUAGAUCCUGAUCGCCAGGCUACCUAGAAAGCACCUCUUCCCACUGAGCCAUCUUGCUGGCUCUCAUCUGUUGUUUUCAUCUGAAAUGUCUUAGUUCUUUUGGCCCUGUUAACAUAGAAUGUGGUUCUGACUUCCCUUCUGAGGGACUAUCAUCGUCCCUUCCCUUUAAUUCUCUCUCAUUCUCCUGUGGUAUUAUUUUCAGACAGUCAUGUUCCCUCAAUCGUCCCCUUGUGGCCUAGAAGUCAGCUACUCAGAACCCUGUAGUCUAGCUUCUAGUAUCUAGGCUCUGUGUCCUCUUCUAUUAUCUUUCUGCUGUGGUCUUCCAGUUGCUGAGUUAACUACAUCUUAGACUCCCUACCAGUAAUGGAAUCUGCCCCCCUAAAAAAACGGAAAAUAAAGGAGUAUGUUAAAACUCCAGCUUGUCCCUUUCAGCUUCAUUCCGCACACCAUGCUGUGUUGUGAUGCAGUACUCUGCCAUCCCUUAUCAUUCUUGAGAAUCCAUAAGUAGAAGUGAAGUCCUGUAUUCUUCUUAGAACAGAUUUAUGCAGGAAGUUCAUGUCUAGAGAAAGGUACUGUGACAAUUUGACUUAGCAGCAGAAAAAGAAGAGUGUCGGAUAUUGCCCAGACUCAGGUAAAACAGGUUCUCUGCCCACAGGGAGCUUCACAGUGUGUUCUGUUAUUUAGUCUUCUCUUUGUCAUUUGCAUUUUCAAGACAGCAUUUCUUUGUGUAGCCUUGACUGUCCUGGAACUAGCUCUAUAACCAAGCCAGCCUGGCCUCGAACUCACAGAGGUCACUGACCUCUGCCUCCUGAGUGCUGGGACUAAAUGCCUGUUACAUCACUGCCUAGUUGCAUGCUCUUGUUAGAGGUUAAAAUGGUUACAACAUUGGCAACCUGCACUGUUCAAAAGUGGGGCUUAAGCUUUGUUUGGUUGGUUUUUUCCCCUAAAAAAGAGUUGCUCAUAAAUAUAGAGGUGUUUCUGACCUUAGGGAGAGAAUGCCAAUGCAGUUUGUAAAGUGAGGUGGGGGAGGGUGUGGGUAUGCAGCUCAAUAAAAAAUAAACAAUUACUAAUUAACUAAACAAACAAUAAUUGUGAGGCCUUAAUGAAGAGGAUGGAAAACAUAAUGUAGAUGUUCUGACAAACUUGCAUACUGCCUUGUUUCCAAAGCCACGCAACCCACAUAGACAGCAGAGCUUAGCCUUCUCUAGUCCUGCUGUCCGUGCAUAGGAACUGAAGAUGAUGAUGACUUGAUGGCACCUUGCAAAAUUCUGGAGAAACAUUUGCCAGGCCACCCUGGUCACAAGUCUAUCGUGCGGCGUGUUCUAUGUGUUUACUUAUUAAAUGCUUGGAGGACUCUCAGGUGGCUGCAGGACUGAGGUGUUUAUUGGAACAGGCUGAAAGGUGGGAGGUCAUUUAGACCUGUGCUCCGAUGCCAUAGGAAAAUGCCCAAGUAUUCCACCCGGGGCUCAGCUUUUGGUCUCAAUUAAAGCUGCGGAGAGCAUGGCUUAGUAAUUCCUACACGGUAGCUUUUUCAUGUUUCCUGUCUGAGAAGCAUGUAGACUACAAAUGAUGGCCAACUCUUCAUCAUUUGUCUGUGAGACUUCGGGCCCAACACUUUGUCAAAGAUUCAUUUUUGUAGUUUCUAAAGUCACAGGAUACAUCUAGAAAGGCUAUGAGAACCCCAGUUCAAUUUCAGCCUGCUCCAGGACUGGCAGUAUUCUAUAACUUCCUAUAGAAUGCUCUGGAAGAUCAAGUCGUGAAAACGAGAUAGCUGGUUGUUGUCCCUCACUCUUCAUUCAUUGUUAAUGCAUCAAUGUAUGGGCUGUGAUUGCUUGUCAUCUGUCUUCAGAGAGCAGGGAGAAGGAGCAGGGCCUCUUUCUGGAAAGCUGUUUACUUGCUUUUCAGUCCAGGGGAUGCCUAACUGGUGUGUUAGGGACACAGACACUAAACUGGAGUGACUGGCUCUUUCCUGCAAAAGGCCAGGUAAUAAAUUCCUUAUGCUGGGUAGGACUCAAACUCUGUUGGGACCACUCAGUUCUGCUUUUGGAGCAUGAAAGCACUCACAAAUGAAUGAGUGUGGCUAUGUUUCAAUAAAACUUUAUUGACUUGACGUAUGUGUGAGAGAAUCUGAGCACGUAUGUGGGAUUAUGUGUGUGUAGGUCACAGGUAAACCUCAGAAACCAUUCCUUAGAAGUCAUCUGAUAUUUUGAGACCAUCCUCCCUCAGUGGCUUGGAGCUUGAGGAUUAGGCUCGUCUAUUUGGUCAGAGAAUUUCAGGAAUUUGCUUGUUUGCACCUCAACCGAGCCGCAUUGUAAGUUUGUACCAUUAUGUCUGGCCUCUUCCCUGAACUGAGGUCUUCAGGCUUCCAUGGCAAACAUUUUACCAACUGAACUAUCUCCCUGGGCCUCAACAAAACUGACUUAAAAGAACAGGGGUUAGCCUGGAUUGGCCCGUGAACAUAACUUACCACCCUUUGUUCUGCAUUCCAGAAUUGCACCACUGGGUAUAUAACCAACUUCAGGAGGAAUAUCUAUGACAUCCAGAUAGCACUGUUGAUGUAUUUCCUUUUUAGGUUCAUAGCCAGAACUCUGCUAAAUGUGUGUGUAAUUAGUUGGUUAUCAGAAGUAGAGUUCUGUUUCUUUCCUGGGUUCCCCCAAAACCCGCUUUGAGGGGAUCCAAAUACCAUUAUUUAAUUACCUUUACCUCCUUUCUUCCCCAAAUCACUUGCAUUAGUUUACAACAAAAGGUAUGUGUAGGCCGGGGAUGGGGGGAGGGUGCAGCUCAGUGGAAGAACAUAAAUUUAGCUUGCAUGAAGUUUUUGUGUCCCCCAAAAUAAGAUAAAAAGAAAUAAAAAUCAAGGUGGAAGGCACACGUGGGUUUGGGCUAUCCACACUCACAUAGAAAGGCCUCACAAAACAGCUCUUGCCAUUUCUUACCCACCUGCCCGCGGUCUGUGAGGCUACUCAGCCUUCAGGCUCUUCCUACGUUGAUUGCUGCUGUGUUUCCCAUCUUAUCUCCACUAGGGCAAUUUCCUUUCAGAGGGGGGAAAUGCCCCAAUGCGUUGCAUCAAGUCUCCCACUAAAGGAAGUGUUGGUAUUUCUCUCUCUUUUUCUCUUUUGACUGAAGUGUAGCCAAGAACCAUUCCACCACCUAAGUGGGUGUAAAGGAAGGAAAGAGAAAAUCAUAAGCUAAUGAAAACUUUGGUGGACAAGUGACUGUUCAAAAUAGACUCUGAGGCUCAUAGGACAAACGUUUCACUAACUAAGGGAACUGUUUUCUAUUUCCUUAAAGACAUAUCUCUGUUGUGCAGGCAAGAAGAAAAAGGGGGUUAUAUUGGAAGCACUGCUUGACAGGGGGCAGAAGAGGCGGGAACUUGAGCAGGAAAGAUGUCUAUCAGUGGGCGUCAGAAUGUGGCAAUCAAGGCCGACUGAUUGGAAAUGAUGCCUGUGGAAUUCUUCCUCUCAAGAUAGUUUUCCUACGGAGCUGUUCCAUUUCACAACUGUGAGAGUGUAUAAAUGACUUUCACAUGCGACUGUAAUUAUGAUCAGAUCCUGGCAGUCAGGAGGUGUGUGCUGGACACAUAACAUGAAGACUCAGGAGUAGAUGGCAAAUCCCUCCCUAGGCCUCAUGGCUAAUCAGCAAGGGGUCACUCAAACGAAAGCACCCCUGUUGCUUGUUCCUUGGAUAUCAUGGCCAUUAUGGGUCACAUGCUUGACGGAACUGUAAGAUAUCAUAGAAGUUGAUUCCAUGAUGAACAAGAGAUAACUAUAAUGAAAGAAUUGUGUGUCCAUUCUACAAGACACAUACAUAGUUAU